GACGAACGCUGGCGGCGCGCCUAACACAUGCAAGUCGAACGGAGAUAUUUUGCUUGAAGUUUUCGGAUGGAAAGCAGCUUAUCUUAGUGGCGAACGGGUGAGUAACACGUGAGCAACCUGCCUUUCAGAGGGGGACAACAUUUGGAAACGAAUGCUAAUACCGCAUAAGACCACAGUGUCGCAUGGCACAGGGGUCAAAGGAGCAAUCCGCUGAAAGAUGGGCUCGCGUCCGAUUAGGUAGUUGGUGAGGUAACGGCCCACCAAGCCGACGAUCGGUAGCCGGACUGAGAGGUUGAACGGCCACAUUGGGACUGAGACACGGCCCAG
This 327-nucleotide ribosomal RNA is filed under the name uncultured bacterium. RNAcentral's name for it is "bacterial SSU rRNA". It matches the Rfam family "Bacterial small subunit ribosomal RNA", at positions 28 to 334 of the family's 1533-position model. The record is from RNAcentral.